This 429-nucleotide ribosomal RNA is filed under the name Verrucomicrobiota bacterium. RNAcentral describes it as "Verrucomicrobia bacterium partial 16S ribosomal RNA". It matches the Rfam family "Bacterial small subunit ribosomal RNA", at positions 355 to 776 of the family's 1533-position model. Lineage: Bacteria; Pseudomonadati; Verrucomicrobiota. The record is from RNAcentral.
UAGGGAAUCUUCGGCAAUGGGGGGAACCCUGACCGAGCAACGCCGCGUGAGUGAAGAAGGUUUUCGGAUCGUAAAGCUCUGUUGUUAAGGAAGAACGAGUGUGAGAAUGGAAAGUUCAUGCUGUGACGGUACUUAACCAGAAAGGGACGGCUAACUACGUGCCAGCAGCCGCGGUAAUACGUAGGUCCCGAGCGUUGUCCGGAUUUAUUGGGCGUAAAGCGAGCGCAGGCGGUUAGAAAAGUCUGAAGUGAAAGGCAGUGGCUCAACCAUUGUAGGCUUUGGAAACUGUUUAACUUGAGUGCAGAAGGGGAGAGUGGAAUUCCAUGUGUAGCGGUGAAAUGCGUAGAUAUAUGGAGGAUCACCGGUGGCGAAAGCGGCUCUCUGGUCUGUAACUGACGCUGAGGCUCGAAAGCGUGGGGAGCGAACAGG